GUGUUACAAAUGGUGAAUGAGUUUGACUGCUAAUCAAAAGGUUGGAGGUUCGAGUCCACCC
This 61-nucleotide transfer RNA is filed under the name Loxodonta africana (African savanna elephant). Lineage: Eukaryota; Metazoa; Chordata; Mammalia; Proboscidea; Elephantidae. The record is from Rfam by way of RNAcentral.